GGAAGGGCACCACCAGGCGUGGAGCCUGCGGCUUAAUUUGACUCAACACGGGGAAACUCACCAGGUCCAGACACAACUAGGAUUGACAGAUUGAGAGCUCUUUCUUGAUUUUGUGGGUGGUGGUGCAUGGCCGUUCUUAGUUGGUGGAGUGAUUUGUCUGCUUAAUUGCGAUAACGAACGAGACCUUAACCUGCUAAAUAGCCCAACUGGCUUUGGCUGGCUGCUGGCUUCUUAGAGGGACAUUCGGCUCAAGCCGACGGAAGUUUGAGGCAAUAACAGGUCUGUKAUGCCCUUAGAUGUUCUGGGCCGCACGCGCGCUACACUGACAGAGCCAGCGGGUUCUCUCCUUAACCGAAAGGUUUGGGUAAACCUAGAAACUCUGUCGUGCUGGGGAUAGAGCAUUGCAAUUAUUGCUCUUCAACGAGGAAUGCCUAGUAAGCGCAUGUCAUCAGCAUGCGUUGAUUACGUCCCUGCCCUUUGUACACACCGCCCGUCGCUACUACCGAUUGAAUGGCCCAGUGAGGCAUUCCGACCGGCCUGGGGAUGUUGGAAACGACAACCCUGGGCUGGGAAGUUUGUCAAACUUGGUCAUUUAGAGGAAGUAAAAGUCGUAACAAGGUUUCCGUAGGUGAACCUGCGGAAGGAUCAUUACUGAGUACUGAGAGCCUACUAGCUCGUCAUGAGUUAGUAGCUCUUUCUUCUCUUCACCCUUUGUUAUUAAUCUCCUAGUUGCUUUGGUAGGUUGCUUUGGCGCCUACCAAGGGACCUUAUUAAACACUUUGUUAUCCAAUAAUUGGUAGUCUUUUGUCUGAUUUUUAUGACUUUAAUAAGUAUAUAAAACUUUCAACAACGGAUCUCUUGGUUCUGGCAUCGAUGAAGAACGCAGCAAAAUGCGAUAAGUAAUGUGAAUUGCAGAAUUCCGUGAAUCAUCAAAUCUUUGAACGCACAUUGCGCCUUCUGGUAAUCCGGAAGGCAUGCCUGUCUGGGCGUCAUUACACCAUUCAAACCUAUGUUCUUGUGAGCAGCUUGGUUUGGUUUUGGAAUCAAACGGCCGGUUGUAUUACCACUGUUUGUUCUGUAAUGUAUUGACAAGUGUCUACUGUUCCUUAGUUGUAGCAAGUAUUUUCUCAACUUCAAGGUAGUAGUGGACGUCUUACUUUUUUGUAAUGGGUUACCAUUCAUUUUAAAGUUUGACCUCAGAUCAGGUAGGAGUACCUGCUGAACUUAAGCAUAUCAAUAAGCAGAGGAAAAGAAACCAACAGGGAUUGCCUUAGUAACGGCGAGUGAAGCGGCAUCAGCUCAAAUUUGAAAUCUGGCUCUUUUUAAGAGUCCGAGUUGUAAUUUGUAGAGGAAACUUUGGUGCGGUCUUAGUCUAAGUUCCUUGGAACAGGACAUCACAGAGGGUGAGAAUCCCGUAUGUGGCUAAAGACUUUAACCAUGUAAAGUUCCUUCAACGAGUCGAGUUGUUUGGGAAUGCAGCUCUAAAUGGGAGGUAAAUUUCUUCUAAAGCUAAAUAUUGGCCAGAGACCGAUAGCGAACAAGUAGAGUGAUCGAAAGAUGAAAAGCACUUUGGAAAGAGAGUUAAACAGUAUGUGAAAUUGUUGAAAGGGAAGCGCUUGUAAUCAGACUUGUGUAUAGGAGUUCAUCAUGGCUUUUGUCUUGACUACUCUCCUGUAUUCAGGCCAGCAUCAGUUUGGGUGGUAGGAUAAAGACCUUUGGAAUGUAGCUCCAUUUCUUAUGAAUUGGAGUGUUAUAGCCUUGGGUGUCAUACUACCAACCUAGACUGAGGAACGCACUUUUGUACGGAUGCUGGCGUAAUGGUUAUAAGCGGCCCGUCUUGAAACACGGACCAAGGAGUCUAACAUCUAUGCGAGUGUUUGGGUGUCAAGCCCGCACGCGUAAUGAAAGUGAAUGGAGGUGGGAACCCCUCGGGGUGCACCAUCGACCGAUCCUGAUGUCUUCGGAUGGAUUUGAGUAAGAGCAUAGCUGUUGGGACCCGAAAGAUGGUGAACUAUGCCUGUGUAGGCUGAAGUCAGAGGAAACUCUGAUGGAAGGUCGCAGCGGUUCUGACGUGCAAAUCGAUCGUCAAACAUGGGUAUAGGGGCGAAAGACUAAUCGAACCA
RNAcentral lists this ribosomal RNA (2123 nucleotides) under uncultured fungus. Its description in RNAcentral is "bacterial SSU rRNA". The record is from RNAcentral. Lineage: Eukaryota; Fungi.